CCAGGGUUCAAGUUGCAGAGCUAUCCGAAAUAGCUGCGCCUAACAUUGUAUUUUUAGAUAAUGAAAAUAUAAUUAUAUUACUUGCUGGUAGAAAAAACGAUUGUUAGCGAAACUGAGAUUAUGCCUACGUCGUUACAACUAUUGAUGGCGGCUUACUGCAACUUGAAUAUGGAAUAUCCAGUGGACUGUCAAAACACAUUAGAAUUUAUACAAAGGUAUAUUUUUAAAAUAAAUCCUAAAGAAGGAAGUCAUAAGUAAUAGUUUUUGAUUUUUAAAAAGCGUUUUUCAAUUAAAAGACAUGUCAAGAUCGCUUAACUUCUUGCAAGUUCUUUCUAAUGCUAAAAAAACUAACUAUAAUUAAUGUCAGUAACAAACAUUUUCAGACAAUUCGUUACUUGAAAUGGUAUAGGUUUCACGCAUUAGAUUCACAUAGGCCUUAUUAACCGAAACUUUUAUAAGACUAAUUCAUAAGAAGUACUUAUGUACAUAAGAUAUAAUUUAUAGUGUCGUAUAUGUCUUCUACUUUUUGUACUCUGUCACAGAAUAAAUAAUAAUAAUAUGCACGUAGACGUGUAUAUACGCGUGUGCUCUAUAAUUUUAGUGUGUGAAAAUCAAUAAAUUUAUUUCUUUGUAA
Long non-coding RNA from Cydia fagiglandana, 634 nucleotides. RefSeq lists it as uncharacterized. The transcript is spliced from 2 exons. The record is from RefSeq and is a predicted model, not a curated record. NCBI's taxonomy places the organism in Eukaryota, Metazoa, Arthropoda, Insecta, Lepidoptera, Tortricidae.